RNAcentral lists this long non-coding RNA (4261 nucleotides) under Homo sapiens (human). RNAcentral's name for it is "HSALNT0192996". Lineage: Eukaryota; Metazoa; Chordata; Mammalia; Primates; Hominidae. The record is from RNAcentral.
GGAAAAUGUAAUAGUUGAGUACAGACAGAAAGAAGAGAACAAAUUCAUGUAGGACCCCAAUAGCCAAAAGUAGAAGGGCUUCAAUGAAGUCAACUUAUACCACUAAGUGGAUUGUUGAUUCUUCGAUGGAUGAGGCUGUAUAAGGGGAUCAACAUUAAUCAAUGUUGCUGACAGGCUGGACAUUCAGCAGCAACCUUGACAAGAGAAUGAAGGCCAAAUUGAGUUUCCUUGAGCAACUCAUUUAACGUUAAGAAUCAAGAUGGUGCCCAAGCUCAGAUGACAUCCUUUCUAACCCAUUUGGAAGGCUCCUCUCAUAGGAGGUGUGAAAGAAAAGAGAAUGGAAAGGAACAGGCUCUUCUCUUGAAGAAAAGCCCUCAGUCCAUACAGCCAGACUUUGUCUACAUAUGCCUUUCUAUGGGAUGCUGAGAGACCAAGGGCUUCUGACAUAGACAUGUGAGAAAUACUGGCUUUAAGUAUACUAUACUCAGUGUCAAAAGCUUUCAGGAUGCAAGAAAUUCCUGAAUUUGAGUCUCCAAAAUUUUAAACAAGGAAAGGAAGUAAAAAUUAUCUCUUUUUCGAUGUAUGGCCCUAUAGUUGGCCAAAAAUGAUUGCUUCUGUUGUUAGAUAUUCAUGUAUAUUUAAGAUUAAAGAAGGUGAUAUUGAUGUGCAAAUAUGAGAGUAAAUUGACAGACAGAUAACCUAAAAAAGUACAGUAAAAUAAAGUUAAGAGUUGUGAUGAAUACCUAAAGGUCCAUUGCCAGAUGAAUGUGAAGACGGAAUGUGAUUUAUAUAUAUAGUGGAAUAUUAUUCAAUUAAAAAGAAAAUGCUAACACUUGCUAAUAUAUAUAAACCUUCAAGACAUUAUGCUAAGUGAAAGAAGCCAGAUACCAAAGGACAAAUAUUGCACUGUUCCACAUAUAUGAAGUGAACAUCACAUAUUGCUGAAGUUCUCAUCAUCAGAAAGAGGCAGAGCUAAGAUUUAAAUCCAGACAUGCCUGGUUCUGAAUUCAGUUGUCUUCCUACACCCAGGAGCUUAUUACAUGCAUUGUGCUAGUCUUCCUGGAAAUCAGGCAAACUCAGUCCACUGCACCUCAUCUCCUUAUGUAAUAACCUGGAGAGCGGUGAGAGCCAUCUGCUUCAAGAGCGACAUAUUUGAGUCCAUAAGGUAAUAGGUUGGCAGAGAACAGAAGGAUUAUGGCAUUGCCAUUUGGCAUUCUUGACUUACUCUGCAUUUAUAAAAUCGAAAUACAUAGUCCAUCAUGUUCUCACAGAGCCUACCAUUAUCAGUCAUUCUGAAAUAAACAUGGUUAGGGACAUCAUAUUCAAAAUAAGUGAUCCUUGUUUUCGGGAAUGAUGUCUGGCAGGAGGAGUUUUUAAAUCCUGCUUUCUGAAGCACUAGCUUACAAAUGACUUUGUGAAGUGUAUUUUGAUUCUGGGGCCCAAGAAGGAGAAAAACAAGUAAGGGAGAAAAACAUAGGCUGGAUCUUAAGAUCACAAGAUAACAGAUGGAUUAAAGGGUAGAAGCCAGAGCAGAGGUUCCAAAACAAGAUUGAUCAUUCAAAUUCAUCUGAAGAACUUUAAAUAUAUGUAUUUACCUGAACCCAGCUUCAGGAAUGAGGCUCAGACAUCUGUGUAUUUAAAAUCUCCUGUGGUUAUUCUGAUAAUUAGCCUCAGUUUUGAGUCAUCUAACAAAGAAAAAGCAAAACAUAUGUCAAUCAGUUUAUCUUACUGUAAUUAAACUUCAGUGGGAAACAUGAGGUGACCCCAAAGAACUGGUUAAGUGUGGCUUAAGAAUUAGUUAAGCAAAUGUACCAAAAGACAAUUUUAAAAAACCAAAUAAAAAGAAAUUUUAGUUUAUUCUCAGGGGCUUUCACAGGAGUCUAUAAAAAUCUCAAAAACAUCCAGGAAGCUCCCAUCGAAUAAUUUGGCUACCUGAAGUGCUGAAUAAAAGGAGCUCUCCCAAAAGAAGCUGUGAAUUCUCUAUCAGGCCCAUGUCCACUCUUCUAGUCAUAGCCUUACUUCUUAAAGAAAGAGAGAAGCUCUAAUCCAAAUCCAAACAUAGGACAUAUGGCGAAGAUUAUUCUGAGAGACACAGUCCCAGAUUCUCCUCUGCUAUACAGGUGUGACAAAAAAGGAGCAAGAACAAAGACUCUAACAUAAUCCUUAGAUGUUUAUAAUAGAAAAAAGAAUGGAAAGAAAUAAACUUUAGCAUUUACACAGGUUGAGCUGACCUAAUCUGAAAAUCCAAAAUCCAAACUGCUAAAAAACUGAUUGAGUUCUGAAGCUUUGAGUGUCAAAAUGGCUCCACAAGUAGAAAGCUCCACAUCUGACCUCAUGUGAUAGGUCACGGUCAAAAUGCAAUCAAAAUUUUGCUUCAUGCCCAACAUUAUUUAAAAUAUUGUAUAAAAUUACCUUUGGCUAUAUAUUAAUAUGUAAGGUAUAUAUAAAACAUUAGUGAUUUUUGGUUUAGUCUUGGAUCCUAUCCCCAUAAUAUCUCAAUAUAUGUAUGCAAAUAUUCCAACCUCCCUGCGCCCAAAAAAUCCAAAAUCCUAAGCACUUCCAAAAUCUAACAGUAAAACAGGCUGAGUAUCCCAAGCAUUUUGGAUAACAGAUGUUCAACCUGUAUCACUUGGGGUCCAUUCAGGGGAACAAACCCCACGAGGUAUUUCAACAGAGAUAAUUUCAUAUAGGGAAUUUGUUAAUCAGAUGAUGGGGAACUGAAAAGGAAAAUGAGAACAUUAGAAGAGAUCAUUACAAAAAGCUGCUACCUCCCCUCAGGCUGGAGGAAUGAAAGGAAGCUGAGAUCAGGAAGCUCAUUGGGAAGCUGAUCAAAACUUACAAGGUUCAUAGAGGGGCCCAAAGAUUUAGGACUCAGAAUUCCAAGGAGGGUGUUACCUACCUCCAAGGAGGCUGCUACUGAAAUCUCAGGAGCUUGGAGGGAGGGUCUCACACAAUGGGGGCCUAACCUCUGAAGUGAGGAGCUACCAGCUAGUGCUGGUACCUCAGAAGUUGGGAAGAGGUCCUGUGAUGUUGAGAUGCAGACACAUAAUGAGUGGGCUCUGCAGCUGGUGGUCGUGAAGGGGCACAAUGACUCUGUUAGUGGGAAUGGCCCGAUGAUCUGAAAGCUGUAAUUAACAGCUGCUGCCAGGGUAAAAGGCCAAAGUGGGGUGAUCUGAUGGGAAAAAAUAAACAAGCAGAAAUGAACAAGUUCCUUCUCCCCUUCUCCUGCCAUUUACUCUUCCCCUAGUUCUUCCUAUUGAUGGAAAUUAAUAGUAAGCCUUCUGACAAAGGAGACAUGUUGUCUUCAGAACCAUCAUCACAAAGUAGAGGCUAGGAAAGUAGAUGUGGAACCUAAUACCGGGUGAAUCAUUCAUCGCACAGUUUCAAAGGUGGCAACAGAAUUAGCCAAAAGCAAGUAUAGGAUGAAAAUAACAAAGGGAAGGGCAGAAAUAAAAUAAGACAUAAACAUUUGAUAGAGAGGACCAACAAAACAAAAUUUUAAUUCAGUGGGAAAACAAAAUAAAAUUCUUACAAGCUUGAGUUAAAAAAAAGGAGGAAAAAAGCCACAAUGUUAUGACUGAAAAAAAAAGGUAACUAAAAAUGCUGCAAGGUUAAAUUUAAUGAAAAUAUGAACAACUUUAUGUUAACACAUUUGGAAACAGAUAACACAGGCAUAUUGGAGAGCAAUACAAUUAUUAUAGCUGUAAUCUUAGGGAUUAUUUAAUUAAUCCUUUAGAACAUUCAAUUUCUAUAUAUUAAUAAAAAUAUAAAUAUAUAUUCAAUAUAUGAUAUGUCUCCAUGUAUUUAUAUGAUAUAUUUUAAUAUAGAUGUAUAUUUUUAUAUAUUUCUAUUUCUAUGUAUGUAUAAUUCUAUAAAUAUAUAGAAAUUGAGUGUUCUAAAGGAUUAAUGGAAUUAAAAAAGUAGUUAAAAAAUUCCCACUCAAAAAAAGGAUUAAAAACUCCGGGUUUAGGCUCUUUCAGAAAAUUGAAAAUCCCUGUGCUUAAUUACUUUUUUUAUGUCCUUAAUUUCUUCAAAUAUUUCAUAUAUAUCUGUUUUAUAUCCUGUACCUAAUAAUUUCAGUAUCUACAGUCCUUCAAAGGUGCACUAUCUCUAGCUAUUAUUUAUCAUUUUUGUUGAUGUUCACCCAUGGUUGCUUGUGUAUUCUUUGACUGUACUUGCUGUUCUUUGCAUCUGAAUUUACUGCCUGAUUUUAAUACAUAUAAUCUCCAUGUACCUAAAUUAAAAUAUCUUUUCUCCAGAG